This 62-nucleotide transfer RNA is filed under the name Henosepilachna vigintioctomaculata. Its description in RNAcentral is "tRNA-Tyr". Lineage: Eukaryota; Metazoa; Arthropoda; Insecta; Coleoptera; Coccinellidae. The record is from RNAcentral.
AAUGAGAUGGCUGAAUUAGGCGGUAAACUGUAAAUUUACUUAUGAAUAUUAAUUCUCUCAUU